GGGCCUACGGGAGGCAGCAGUGGGGAAUAUUGCGCAAUGGGCGAAAGCCUGACGCAGCGACGCCGCGUGAGGGAUGAAGGCCUUCGGGUCGUAAACCUCUGUCAGGAGGGAAGAACCGCCAUGGUGCUAAUCAGCCGUGGU
RNAcentral lists this ribosomal RNA (141 nucleotides) under uncultured Desulfovibrionales bacterium. RNAcentral's name for it is "partial 16S ribosomal RNA". It matches the Rfam family "Bacterial small subunit ribosomal RNA", at positions 335 to 468 of the family's 1533-position model. The record is from RNAcentral. Lineage: Bacteria; Pseudomonadati; Thermodesulfobacteriota; Desulfovibrionia; Desulfovibrionales.